AUUUGAAUCAACGAUAUACACCGUCAAACAUGAUCCAAAGUAUUUAAACUUUUUAGGUUCUAAUUUUAUAUUUUUUAGCAUUAUUUGUAAGUAAAUUUUUAAAAUAAUAUUAUUUAUUUUGUUCUUUGAGUUUUAGUAAAUGGAUGCAACUCUAAUCAAAAGCAGUGACUCUUAAAGAAUGAAUGUGAAAGAAUGUGAUUUUUAGUGAAAGAGUAAGACAUGAAAAAACACAUAUUUGUAAUGUGUCUCUUCGAGCAUAUGUUUGUUGGAAUCAAUUAUUAUAUUCACUGAACUUUAUUCAUAUAACUAAUCUGUAGUUAUAAUCAAAUAAAAAAUCACAAAUUGAAAAGUCACUCAGAGACGCCCGUUCAUGAAUAGUCACUUCAUGAAGCACCAAUUCGUGCUCUAUAUAAAUCCAUAGAGUUGGUUACAGAAAAAAAAUAAUAAUAAUCGAAGAGUUUAAGUUUCUAUUCAGAAUAAUUUUAUUAUUGUUUUCUUAUUCUAUUUCUUUUAACAACUUAAUCGAGUAAGAGCUCAAAGCCUCGAUUUCGUGUAUGCAAACGCAGUUGAGUUUUGUGCUUCAUUGUAUUCUGAGAGCUUGUUUGUUGACCCAGUGCACACCAGAUUAUUUAAACGGUGAGAAUGAAUUAAGUCUUAAGUAAAGUGGUAUUGGUACACGCCUUGAAAUCUUUUUCAUCUUGCUACUUCAUACUUUUUCACCAUC
RNAcentral lists this long non-coding RNA (724 nucleotides) under Ananas comosus (pineapple). RNAcentral describes it as "long non-coding RNA (ACOM_LNC033705)". The record is from RNAcentral. Lineage: Eukaryota; Viridiplantae; Streptophyta; Magnoliopsida; Poales; Bromeliaceae.